Molecule: long non-coding RNA, 1859 nt
Organism: Gadus morhua (Atlantic cod)
Lineage: Eukaryota; Metazoa; Chordata; Actinopteri; Gadiformes; Gadidae
Exons: 2
Source: RefSeq, a predicted model, not a curated record
CCUGGAUUUUUCCGGGUUUGUUCAACAGAGCAGAACUUCUGGCUACCACAUAGGCCACACGUUGAUUAUAUCUCUGUCUUUCACUUAUUUUCAAUAUGAAAACUUUGGCUUUGAUUCUGGGAGUGCUUGCUUUGAUGGGCAUACAGGUUUUUGGAGAAGAUUCUGUCUCUACAUCUGCCAUGCCAACGGUAUGCUGCACUCCCAAGACAUCACUAGCUCAAAGUAUCAUGACAACGGGAGCUACGACUCAUAUGACAACAGGAGGCCCAACUACCAAUAAACCAGCAGCUCCAACUACAAAGAAAAUAGAGACUUCAAAUACCAUGACAACAACAGCUCCAACUACCAUGAUAACGGUAGGUUCAACUACCAUGGCAACAGUAGCUCCAACUACCAAAACAACAGCAACUCCAACUACCAUGACACCAACAGCUCCAACUACCAUGAUAACAACAGCUCCAGCUACCGUGAUAACGGGGGGUCCAACAACCAUGACAACAGUAGCUCCAACUACCAAAACAACAGCAGCUCCGACUACCAUAACAACAGCAGCUCCAACUACCAAAACAACAGCAGCUCCAACUACCAAAACAACAGCAGCUCCAACCAACAAAACAACAGCAGCUCCAACUACCAAUACAACAGCAGCUCCAACUAACAAAACAACAGCAGCUCCAACUACUGUGACAACGAGACAUCCAACGACCAGCAGAGGCACAGCGGUCAAAGCGUCUCUGUUGGGCUCUGUGGCGCCACUGCUCUUCUGCACACUAUGCCGCUGAGGGAAAUAGCGCCCCCCUCUGGUGAUCAUGAAAUACAUUGGUGAAAUUCGUGAAGUAAUAAUGCUGGCGCUUCAGAAAACAAUGUUGUUUUGAAAUCACAAUGUUCCCCUUUAAUACAUGAUUCCUUGAAGUAAACAGAGUGAUUAGUUAUUAGAUGUAUUUCAAAGAUUUAUCAUGAUUAUUAUUCUUAUUAGUUAUUUUGCACACCUGGACUCAUCACUAUUAAUUUUCAACAAAUGAUGGCAUAUUACACAUGUUUGAGUUGAGUGGUAACUUUCUCUAUUAAAAGGAUUGAAUACCUGGUGGCAGGUGCAGGCUGUGAUAGUCAUGGUAGCAAUACUAAUGCCUACAAAUUAUCUUUAUUUAUCUUACAUGUAGAUCAUGCAUUAAGAUAAUUGUUAUGAUCCAACAAUUUCAUUGCAUCACAAGGCAUCUGGAUGGGAAAUGAGAUAACAAUAAAAGUGCAUUUGUAGCAAUUAUUCAGAAACACAUUCAGCGAUCACAGAGUAUUGUUAUUUGUGAUAAGAAUUAUAAUCAAGUGAAUGGCAAAUAUUAAGUAGCCAAUGAGCCAUAAAAAUCUUUACUAUCUAACAACUAGUCCAAAAUGAUUGCUGACCAAUGCACUCAAAAUUAAAUAAAUUAAUAUAUUGUGAAAUUACAAAUGUAUAAAUAUAAUAAAUAAGUAUUGUUCACUAUAUUUCAUAAGCAUAUCAUAUUUAAUUUAAUAAUCUUGUAAUGGGCUGUGAGGUUGGACCAAAGAACAGCACAGACCGAGACCAGCGUUGGAACAAUACAUUUUUCCAAAAUGGUCUAUUUCAUAAAGCUUGAUUUUAUACUGUGAAAUGUGCACAGCACCAAACCAUUAAAAAACGAAAAAAUAAUCUCAAGUACCCUGACCUUUGAGGUUAUUCAUUGAUAGUUAAUAGUUUGUUUGAAUCAAGACCAAAAAAGCACUCAAACCCUUCUGCUUAUCAAAUGUCAAAAAAAAUAAGGAAAAAGGUUGAGAUUUCAGUGGGCGUGGCUCAGAGACUAAGAACCUUAAGGCUGUGUAAAUGAAUAAAGAUUACAUCAAAUCAA